This 1799-nucleotide ribosomal RNA is filed under the name Salmonella enterica subsp. enterica. Its description in RNAcentral is "partial 23S ribosomal RNA". It matches the Rfam family "Bacterial large subunit ribosomal RNA", at positions 137 to 1874 of the family's 2925-position model. The record is from RNAcentral. RNAcentral also lists the same sequence under 1 other name. Lineage: Bacteria; Pseudomonadati; Pseudomonadota; Gammaproteobacteria; Enterobacterales; Enterobacteriaceae.
GAUUCGUCACACUAUCAUUAACUGAAUCCAUAGGUUAAUGAGGCGAACCGGGGGAACUGAAACAUCUAAGUACCCCGAGGAAAAGAAAUCAACCGAGAUUCCCCCAGUAGCGGCGAGCGAACGGGGAGGAGCCCAGAGCCUGAAUCAGCAUGUGUGUUAGUGGAAGCGUCUGGAAAGGCGCGCGAUACAGGGUGACAGCCCCGUACACAAAAGCGCAUGUGCUGUGAGCUCGAUGAGUAGGGCGGGACACGUGGUAUCCUGUCUGAAUAUGGGGGGACCAUCCUCCAAGGCUAAAUACUCCUGACUGACCGAUAGUGAACCAGUACCGUGAGGGAAAGGCGAAAAGAACCCCGGCGAGGGGAGUGAAAAAGAACCUGAAACCGUGUACGUACAAGCAGUGGGAGCACCCUUCGGGGUGUGACUGCGUACCUUUUGUAUAAUGGGUCAGCGACUUAUAUUCUGUAGCAAGGUUAACCGUAUAGGGGAGCCGGAGGGAAACCGAGUCUUAAUUGGGCGUUAAGUUGCAGGGUAUAGACCCGAAACCCGGUGAUCUAGCCAUGGGCAGGUUGAAGGUUGGGUAACACUAACUGGAGGACCGAACCGACUAAUGUUGAAAAAUUAGCGGAUGACCUGUGGCUGGGGGUGAAAGGCCAAUCAAACCGGGAGAUAGCUGGUUCUCCCCGAAAGCUAUUUAGGUAGCGCCUCGUGAAUUCAUCUCCGGGGGUAGAGCACUGUUUCGGCUAGGGGGCCAUCCCGGCUUACCAACCCGAUGCAAACUGCGAAUACCGGAGAAUGUUAUCACGGGAGACACACGGCGGGUGCUAACGUCCGUCGUGAAGAGGGAAACAACCCAGACCGCCAGCUAAGGUCCCAAAGUCAUGGUUAAGUGGGAAACGAUGUGGGAAGGCCCAGACAGCCAGGAUGUUGGCUUAGAAGCAGCCAUCAUUUAAAGAAAGCGUAAUAGCUCACUGGUCGAGUCGGCCUGCGCGGAAGAUGUAACGGGGCUAAACCAUGCACCGAAGCUGCGGCAGCGAACGUAUCACCCAAGACAACUUUACGGAGUUGACGAUUGACGGAGCGAAGCGACGUCAAAGCGUUCAUUAAAGUCGAGUUGGCUUAGGGAUACGUUCGUUGGGUAGGGGAGCGUUCUGUAAGCCUGUGAAGGUGUGUCGUGAGGCAUGCUGGAGGUAUCAGAAGUGCGAAUGCUGACAUAAGUAACGAUAAAGCGGGUGAAAAGCCCGCUCGCCGGAAGACCAAGGGUUCCUGUCCAACGUUAAUCGGGGCAGGGUGAGUCGACCCCUAAGGCGAGGCCGAAAGGCGUAGUCGAUGGGAAACGGGUUAAUAUUCCCGUACUUGGUGUUACUGCGAAGGGGGGACGGAGAAGGCUAUGUUGGCCGGGCGACGGUUGUCCCGGUUUAAGCGUGUAGGUGUGUGUUCCAGGUAAAUCCGGUUCACUUUAACACUGAGGCGUGACGACGAGGCACUACGGUGCUGAAGCAACAAAUGCCCUGCUUCCAGGAAAAGCCUCUAAGCAUCAGGUAACACGAAAUCGUACCCCAAACCGACACAGGUGGUCAGGUAGAGAAUACCAAGGCGCUUGAGAGAACUCGGGUGAAGGAACUAGGCAAAAUGGUGCCGUAACUUCGGGAGAAGGCACGCUGACACGUAGGUGAAGUGAUUUACUCAUGGAGCUGAAGUCAGUCGAAGAUACCAGCUGGCUGCAACUGUUUAUUAAAAACACAGCACUGUGCAAACACGAAAGUGGACGUAUACGGUGUGACGCCUGCCCGGUGCCGGAA